Molecule: ribosomal RNA, 253 nt
Filed under: uncultured bacterium
Lineage: Bacteria
Description: partial 16S ribosomal RNA
Rfam family: Bacterial small subunit ribosomal RNA
Source: RNAcentral
GACGUAGGAGGCGAGCGUUGUCCGGAUUCAUUGGGCGUAAAGAGCACGCAGGCGGUUUGGCAAGUCGGACGUGAAAAUCCGGGGCUCAACCCCGGACCUGCAUCCGAAACUGCCCGACUAGAGGUAGGUAGGGGAGAUCGGAAUUCCUGGUGUAGCGGUGAAAUGCGCAGAUAUCAGGAGGAACACCGGUGGCGAAGGCGGAUCUCUGGGCCUUACCUGACGCUCAGGUGCGAAAGCUAGGAGAGCGAACAGG